GCCUGAGUGGCUCAGCCAGUUAAGCGUCUGACUUCCACUCAGGUCAUGAUCUCGCAGCUGUGAGUUCGAGCCCCGCAUCGGGCA
RNAcentral lists this transfer RNA (84 nucleotides) under Felis catus (domestic cat). It matches the Rfam family "tRNA". Rfam says of the family: Transfer RNA (tRNA) molecules are approximately 80 nucleotides in length. Their secondary structure includes four short double-helical elements and three loops (D, anti-codon, and T loops). Lineage: Eukaryota; Metazoa; Chordata; Mammalia; Carnivora; Felidae. The record is from Rfam by way of RNAcentral.